RNAcentral lists this ribosomal RNA (1405 nucleotides) under uncultured bacterium. Its description in RNAcentral is "16S ribosomal RNA". It matches the Rfam family "Bacterial small subunit ribosomal RNA". The record is from RNAcentral.
AGAGUUUGAUCCUGGCUCAGGAUGAACGCUAGCGACAGGCUUAACACAUGCAAGUCGAGGGGCAGCGGUGGUGAAGGCUUGCCUUUACCAGCCGGCGACCGGCGCACGGGUGAGUAACACGUAUGCAACCUGCCUGCCACAGCCGGAUAAUCGGGAGAAAUUCCGUCUAAUACGGCAUAAUGCAUCGACGGGACAUCCUGUUGGUGCCAAAGGUUGAUUCCGGUGGCGGAUGGGCAUGCGUCGCAUUAGUUAGUUGGCGGUGUAACGGACCACCAAGACGACGAUGCGUAGGGGUUCUGAGAGGAAGGUCCCCCACACUGGUACUGAGACACGGACCAGACUCCUACGGGAGGCAGCAGUGAGGAAUAUUGGUCAAUGGGCGGGAGCCUGAACCAGCCAAGUCGCGUGAGGGAUGACGGCCCUAUGGGUUGUAAACCUCUUUUGCCGGGGAGCAAAGUGCCGCACGUGUGCGGUUUGGAGAGUACCCGGAGAAAAAGCAUCGGCUAACUCCGUGCCAGCAGCCGCGGUAAUACGGAGGAUGCGAGCGUUAUCCGGAUUUAUUGGGUUUAAAGGGUGCGUAGGCGGACGCUUAAGUCAGCGGUAAAAUUGCGGGGCUCAACCUCGUCGAGCCGUUGAAACUGGGUGCCUUGAGUGGGCGAGAAGUACGCGGAAUGCAUGGUGUAGCGGUGAAAUGCAUAGAUAUCACGCAGAACUCCGAUUGCGAAGGCAGCGUACCGGCGCCCAACUGACGCUGAAGCACGAAGGCGUGGGUAUCGAACAGGAUUAGAUACCCUGGUAGUCCACGCAGUAAACGAUGAAUGCUAGUUGUCCGGGGCGAUUGAGUUCUGGGUGACACAGCGAAAGCGUUAAGCAUUCCACCUGGGGAGUACGCCGGCAACGGUGAAACUCAAAGGAAUUGACGGGGGCCCGCACAAGCGGAGGAACAUGUGGUUUAAUUCGAUGAUACGCGAGGAACCUUACCCGGGCUCAAACGCAGGAGGGAUGUUUUUGAAAGGAGGCAGCCAGCAAUGGUCUCCUGCGAGGUGCUGCAUGGUUGUCGUCAGCUCGUGCCGUGAGGUGUCGGCUUAAGUGCCAUAACGAGCGCAACCCCUACCUACAGUUGCCAUCGCGUGAUGGCGGGCACUCUGUGGGGACUGCCUGCGCAAGCAGUGAGGAAGGCGGGGAUGACGUCAAAUCAGCACGGCCCUUACGUCCGGGGCGACACACGUGUUACAAUGGGUGGUACAGCGGGAAGCCAGGCGGCGACGCCGAGCGGAACCCGAAAUCCACUCUCAGUUCGGAUCGGAGUCUGCAACCCGACUCCGUGAAGCUGGAUUCGCUAGUAAUCGCGCAUCAGCCAUGGCGCGGUGAAUACGUUCCCGGGCCUUGCACUCACCGCCCGUCA